This 1119-nucleotide ribosomal RNA is filed under the name Triticum aestivum (bread wheat). Its description in RNAcentral is "partial small subunit ribosomal RNA". Lineage: Eukaryota; Viridiplantae; Streptophyta; Magnoliopsida; Poales; Poaceae. The record is from RNAcentral.
AUGAGGUGCCACAAGGCACGGAGGAACAAGAAGGGGAAAGGUGUUGCGCCUGUCGUUUCGGAACGAAAGAGAGGUAUCAUUCUCAAGACUGAGUGCCCUGUCCGGUGUAAGCUAAACGUAGAUGGAGCACUAUGGGUGGUCAAUGAAUAUUUUGAUGAGCACAACCACCAACUCAUAAAGAAGUUCGACCUGGUAAAAUUUCUGACCGCCCACAGAGGGUUCACCCCCGUCGAAAGGCAAUUCGUAAAGCUGCUACAUGAUUGUAACGUCGUUCCAUCAAGAAUGGUACAGAUACUAUCUCUCAUCCACAGCAAAAAGGGGGACAUGCCGUACAUACCAGCUGACGUCACAAACCUACAGGCCAAGUACCGUAGAGAGAGCAAGUUGGCAGACAUAGAGGCCACACUGGCCUACUUCGAUGAAAAAGCGAAGGAAGAUCCAGAUUUCUUCUACAGGAUAAGGUUGAACGAUGAGGACCGUGUCAGGAACAUGUACUGGGUGGAUGGUGCUGCAAGGAGAGCCUACAAACAUUUCCGAGAUUGCAUUUCAUUCGACGCGACGUACCUCACCAAUAUGUACAAGAUGCCAUGCGCUCCGUUCAUAGGAAUAAAUAACCGCAACACGGAUGGGUACGUUUGGCUGUUCAAGACCUUCUUGGAGUGCAUGGAUGGACUUGCUCCGAUGAACAUAAUAACAAACCAAGAUUUCAGCAUGCGUGCAGGCAUAGAGGAGGUCUUUCCGUUGGCAGUGCACAGGCACUGCAGGUGGCACAUUAUAAAGAAGGCUGAGGAGAUGCUAGGACCGUUCUUUGCUACUACGCAGCGCAGCGAGGGGUUCAAUGCUAUUUUGAAGCGACGGGACGGCAUUGUGUGCUAUCACAUACUAAAAGUAAUGGACAUGAACGCUGUGACACGGAUGCCCCGCCAUUUCAUAAGGUGGUGAUGGACUUGGGACGCUGACGACGCGUUGGCGCCGCAGACAACACACACAGUUCUGGUUGUGCAUGACGAGAGACCUGAGUCAACCAUGGAAGCCGUGAGGCACGUUGUGUUGACAAAGAACUAUGCUGAGCUAAUUGAUGAAGCGUGCAAGAGUGAUGAGACAGCGAGAGUCGCAUAA